UACGGAGGAUGCGAGCGUUAUCCGGACUUAUUGGGUUUAAAGGGUGCGUAGGCGGACUGUCAAGUCAGCGGUAAAAUUGAGAGGCUCAACCUCUUCCCGCCGUUGAAACUGGUGGUCUUGAGUGGAUGAGAAGUACGCGGAAUGCGUGGUGUAGCGGUGAAAUGCAUAGAUAUCACGCAGAACUCCGAUUGCGAAGGCGGCGUACCGGCAUCCAACUGACGCUGAGGCACGAAAGCGUGGGGAUCAAACAGG
RNAcentral lists this ribosomal RNA (252 nucleotides) under uncultured bacterium. RNAcentral describes it as "partial 16S ribosomal RNA". It matches the Rfam family "Bacterial small subunit ribosomal RNA", at positions 524 to 776 of the family's 1533-position model. The record is from RNAcentral.